GACGAACGCUGGCGGCGUGCUUAACACAUGCAAGUCGAACGGAAAGGCCCUGCUUGCAGGGUACUCGAGUGGCGAACGGGUGAGUAACACGUGGGUGAUCUGCCCUGCACUUCGGGAUAAGCCUGGGAAACUGGGUCUAAUACCGGAUAGGAGCCAUUUUUAGUGUGAUGGUUGGAAAGUUUUUUCGGUGUAGGAUGAGCUCGCGGCCUAUCAGCUUGUUGGUGGGGUAAUGGCCUACCAAGGCGGCGACGGGUAGCCGGCCUGAGAGGGUGGACGGCCACAUUGGGGCUGAGAUACGGCCCAGACUCCUACGGGGGGCAGCCGUGGGGAAUAUUGCACAAUGGGCGCAAGCCUGAUGCAGCGACGCCGCGUGGGGGAUGACGGCCUUCGGGUUGUAAACUCCUUUCGCUAGGGACGAAGCUUUUUGUGACGGUACCUAGAUAAGAAGCACCGGCUAACUACGUG
Molecule: ribosomal RNA, 465 nt
Filed under: uncultured bacterium
Lineage: Bacteria
Description: partial 16S ribosomal RNA
Rfam family: Bacterial small subunit ribosomal RNA
Source: RNAcentral